GAUGAAGAACGUAGCGAAAUGCGAUAAGUAAUGCGAAUUGCAGAAUUUCCGUGAGUCAUCGAAUCUUUGAACGCACAUUGCGCCCACUGGUAUUCCGGUGGGCAUGCCUGUUCGAGCGUCAUUAUCCUCCCUCAAACCCCGGGUUUGGUGUUGGACCGAAGUUGUGUGAACAACUGGUCUAAAAAACAAUGACGGCGUCCGUGGGACCCUCGGUGCAACGAGCUUUUAGGAGCACGCGCCGAGUUGCAAGGACCUUCCGGGCCGGUCUCCUUUUACUAUUUUACAAGGUUGACCUCGGAUCAGGUAGGAAUACCUGCUGAACUUAAGCAUAUCAAUAAGCGGAGGA
This 346-nucleotide unclassified non-coding RNA is filed under the name soil metagenome. RNAcentral describes it as "partial contains 5.8S ribosomal RNA, internal transcribed spacer 2, and large subunit ribosomal RNA". The stretch from base 1 to 121 matches the Rfam family "5.8S ribosomal RNA", at positions 35 to 154 of the family's 154-position model. The record is from RNAcentral.